AAGAGUAUAAUACAAUGUUGGGAAUCCGGUACUCGCCCCGGUACCGGAUCUUGUGAAUCCGCAACCCGCCCCGAUACCGAUUGCUGUGAAUCCGGUACCGAUGGUUGGGAUUCCGCAACGGAAACGUCAAAUCGGGUUUUUACCAUAAACCCGUCUCCUCAGCAAAAACUGAUACAGUCAUAAAAGAAAAAAAUAUGUAGGUAAAAUAAGAUUCAUUAAAUAAGAGAAGAUUACACCUGACUCCUCUUCUGCACAGAGUAGCUACAACCCGAGCCCUCUUUCUUGAAUCUCUUUUACCCUUCUCUCGUCUUCUAUAAACCCAUAAAGAAGACAAUCAUCCACCCGCACCCGUGCACUAGGUGCACUAAAUAACUCUCUCUUUUUCUCUCUCUGGUACGACACCCAAGAGGCCUUUUCUUCUCUUGACCGUACUCAUCUUAAAAGCAAACCCACAAAGAGUUAUUUAUAAGGCUUCACUAAAACGUACCCCAAUCCUAAUAUAUUUAGGAUUUCUACUCCAAUAAUAUCUAAAUCUAUCUUAAUUAAUCUCUAAUAGAUUUAAAUAUUAAUCCUAAUCUAGUUAGAUUUUAUCCUCUAAUUAAUAUUUAAAUCUUAAUUUAUCUCCAAUAGAUUUAAAUAUUAAUUCUUAUCUAACUAGGAUUCAACUACAAAUCUAAACAAAUCCUAACAAUCUACACCUU
Molecule: long non-coding RNA, 701 nt
Filed under: Ananas comosus (pineapple)
Lineage: Eukaryota; Viridiplantae; Streptophyta; Magnoliopsida; Poales; Bromeliaceae
Description: long non-coding RNA (ACOM_LNC038509)
Source: RNAcentral